CAUUCGGUGGUUUUUACCACCACCCAUUUUAACGGCAUAUUUAUC
Molecule: non-coding RNA, 45 nt
Organism: Ignavibacteria bacterium RBG_16_34_14
Lineage: Bacteria; Pseudomonadati; Ignavibacteriota; Ignavibacteria
Source: Rfam